Molecule: ribosomal RNA, 556 nt
Filed under: uncultured fungus
Lineage: Eukaryota; Fungi
Description: SSU rRNA
Rfam family: Eukaryotic small subunit ribosomal RNA
Source: RNAcentral
CUGGUUGAUCCUGCCAGUAGUCAUAUGCUUGUCUCAAAGAUUAAGCCAUGCAUGUCUAAGUAUAAGCAAUUUAUACUGUGAAACUGCGAAUGGCUCAUUAAAUCAGUUAUAAUUUAUUUGAUAAUACCUUACUACUUGGAUAACCGUGGUAAUUCUAGUGCUAAUACAUGCUUCAAGCCCCGACUUCUGGAAGGGGUGUAUUUAUUAGAUAAAAAACCAAUCGUGGCAACACGUUUUUUGGUGAAUCAUGAUAACUAUUCGAAUCGCAUAGCUUUGCUGGCGAUGGUUCAUUCAAAUUUCUGCCCUAUCACCUUUCGAUGGUAGUAUAGAGGACUACCAUGGGUAUAACGGGUAACGGAGAAUUAGGGUUCGAUUCCGGAGAGGGAGCCUGAGAAACGGCUACCACAUCCAAGGAAGGCAGCAGGCGCGCAAAUUACCCAAUCCCGAUACGGGGAGGUAGUGACAAUAAAUAACAAUACAGAGCUUUAUAGUUUUGUAAUUGUAAUGAGAACAAUUUAAACCUCUUAACGAGAACCAAUUGGAGGGCAAGUCUGGU